GAACGCUGGCGGCAUGCCUAACACAUGCAAGGCGAACGAGACCUUCGGGUCUAGUGGCGCACGGGUGCGUAACGCGUGGGAACCUGCCCUUAGGUUCGGAAUAACUCCCCGAAAGGGGUGCUAAUACCGGAUAAUGUCUUCGGACCAAAGAUUUAUCGCCUUUGGAUGGGCCCGCGUUGGAUUAGCUAGUUGGUAGGGUAAAAGCCUACCAAGGCGACGAUCCAUAGCUGGUCUGAGAGGAUGAUCAGCCACACUGGGACUGAGACACGGCCCAGACUCCUACGGGAGGCAGCAGUGGGGAAUAUUGGACAAUGGGCGAAAGCCUGAUCCAGCAAUGCCGCGUGAGUGAUGAAGGCCUUAGGGUUGUAAAGCUCUUUUACCCGGGAUGAUAAUGACAGUACCGGGAGAAUAAGCUCCGGCUAACUCCGUG
RNAcentral lists this ribosomal RNA (430 nucleotides) under uncultured bacterium. Its description in RNAcentral is "partial 16S ribosomal RNA". It matches the Rfam family "Bacterial small subunit ribosomal RNA", at positions 31 to 507 of the family's 1533-position model. The record is from RNAcentral.